GCCAGUGGUGAAAGUUUUCGGCUCAACCGGAAAAUUGCCAUUGAAACUGGCGAACUUGAGUACAGUAGAGGUAGGCGGAAUUCGUGGUGUAGCGGUGAAAUGCUUAGAUAUCACGAAGAACUCCGAUUGCGAAGGCAGCUUGCUGGACUGUAACUGACGCUGAGGCACGAAAGCGUGGGGAUCAAACAGGAUUAGAUACCCUGGUAGUCCACGCCGUAAACGAUGAAUGCUAGCUGUUAGCGAUAUACUGUUAGCGGCACAGAGAAAUCGUUAAGCAUUCCACCUGGGGAGUACGCCGGCAACGGUGAAACUCAAAGGAAUUGACGGGGGCCCGCACAAGCGGAGGAACAUGUGGUUUAAUUCGAUGAUACGCGAGGAACCUUACCUGGGCUUAAAUUGCAGUGGAAUAACGUGGAAACAUGUUAGCCUUCGGGCCACUGUGAAGGUGCUGCAUGGUUGUCGUCAGCUCGUGCCGUGAGGUGUCGGCUUAAGUGCCAUAACGAGCGCAACCCUCAUCGAUAGUUACUAACAGGUUAAGCUGAGGACUCUAUCGAGACUGCCGACGUAAGUCGUGAGGAAGGUGGGGAUGACGUCAAAUCAGCACGGCCCUUACGUCCAGGGCUACACACGUGUUACAAUGGGGGGUACAAAGGGCAGCUACCUGGCGACAGGAUGCUAAUCUCAAAAACCUCUCUCAGUUCGGAUUGGAGUCUGCAACCCGACUCCGUGAAGCUGGAUUCGCUAGUAAUCGCGCAUCAGCCACGGCGCGGUGAAUACGUUCCCGGGCCUUGUACACACCGCCCGUCAAGCCAUGGGAGCCGGGGGGACCUGAAGUAUGCAACCGUAAGGAGCGUCCUAGGGUAAAACUGGUGACCGGGGCUAAGUCGUAACAAGGUACC
Molecule: ribosomal RNA, 899 nt
Filed under: uncultured bacterium
Lineage: Bacteria
Description: bacterial SSU rRNA
Rfam family: Bacterial small subunit ribosomal RNA
Source: RNAcentral